AGGGAAACAGCCCAAACCCAUUUUGUUACGGCAAAGUGGGGGUUGUAGGACCACGACAUGGUAUAUUAAACAGAAGCGGAAUGGCAUGGGAAGGCCAACCAUAGAGCAUGAGAGUUGCGUACGCGUAUAGAAUAAUAACCUAGUGAGUUCCUGAGUACUGCGGGGUCGGAGACGCCCUGUAGGAAUCUGCCGGCACCAUCCGGUAAGGCUAA
Molecule: ribosomal RNA, 212 nt
Filed under: Foraminifera environmental sample
Lineage: Eukaryota; Foraminifera
Description: partial Bacterial large subunit ribosomal RNA
Rfam family: Bacterial large subunit ribosomal RNA
Source: RNAcentral